This is a long non-coding RNA of Rhinopithecus bieti (black snub-nosed monkey), 1088 nucleotides long. NCBI's taxonomy places the organism in Eukaryota, Metazoa, Chordata, Mammalia, Primates, Cercopithecidae. The record is from Ensembl.
CAGGCACAAGAGGUACCCGGGACAGAGCUCCCUGGAGAGAUCCGGGGAGUCCCACCUGGAGGAAAUGGUGCAGCCAUCACUCACUUGCACAAGGAUGAAGGGCAGAAGCAGAAACAGGACUUGAACUUUAUGACCUGGAGGAGAUAACGUCAGUCAAGGAGCUCGCUUUCUGAUCAACACUGCCCUUCCCCCAGCAGACUGUGCGGCCGGCCGCAGCACUGUCAAGGCAGAGGAGAGAGCAUUCGAGGUAAUUUCCAUUUCUUACUGGGGUCCUCAGUGAACAUUCAAAAGAGAGGAGACAGUGGCGGGCUGUGGAGGUUAUUAAAAGACGAUUUUAUUUUUAGCAGGAUUGCAAGGGAGCAUUGGAGGGAACGUGUGGAUGUUUGCAGUGUUAAUGACCAAGGGGCCCAGCUUGCUUUGGAGGAAGCAGAGGAACAAGUGCAUCUCAACUCUAUUGACAAGAAAACUGAUCCCAGAGAGAUUCAAGCCUUGCUUCAGAUCCUGUCUCAGUCAGCAGGGACACAGAGGGCCUGGGAGUACUGAAUUUCUCUUCAAAUCAUUACCCUCCUUAUAAAUAUUUAUGAGCACUAAACUGUACACUUAAAAAUAGUAUAGAUGGUAAAUUAUAUGGGAAGAUUUUACCUCAAUUUUUUGGCCAUGCGUGGUGGUUCACACCUAUAAUCUCAGCACUUUGGAAGACUGAGGCAGGCGGAUCACUGGAGGUAAGGAGUUCAAGAGCAACCAGACCAACAUGGUGAAACCCCAUCCCUACUAAAAAUAUAAAAAUUAGCCGGGCGUAGUGACACGCGCCUGUAAUCCCAGUUACUCAGGAGGCUGAAGCAGGAGAAUUGCUUGAACCUGGAAGAUGGAAGUUGCAAUGAGCCAAGAUCACGCCAUUGCACUCCAGCCUGGUGAAGCUAUGUCUCAAAUAUAUAUAUAUAUAUAAGAAAACGAAAUUAUUGCCCUUCUUGCUUCAGCACCUUGGGGUCUCCCUGAAAAGUGCCUCUCUACCUGGUUUUCCAGAGUGGCGUGAGCAUGUGCAAGCUCCUCAAAGAUGCAAGAGUUUCUGAGCUGCUCAGGAGCCCGGC